This 420-nucleotide ribosomal RNA is filed under the name uncultured bacterium. Its description in RNAcentral is "bacterial SSU rRNA". It matches the Rfam family "Bacterial small subunit ribosomal RNA", at positions 917 to 1333 of the family's 1533-position model. The record is from RNAcentral.
GGACCCGCACAAGUAGUGGAGCAUGUGGUUUAAUUCGAAGAUACGCGCAGAACCUUACCAACACUUGACAUGUUCGUCGCGACUCUAAGAGAUUAGAGUUUUCGGUUCGGCCGGACGAAACACAGGUGCUGCAUGGCUGUCGUCAGCUCGUGUCGUGAGAUGUUGGGUUAAGUCCCGCAACGAGCGCAACCCUUGUCCUUAGUUGCCAGCACGUAAUGGUGGGAACUCUAAGGAGACUGCCGGUGACAAACCGGAGGAAGGUGGGGAUGACGUCAAGUCCUCAUGGCCCUUACGUGUUGGGCUACACACGUGCUACAAUGGUAUCUACAACAGGAAGCAAAACUGCGAAGUUAAGCAAAUCCUAAAAAGAUACCUCAGUUCGGAUUGCACUCUGCAACUCGAGUGCAUGAAGCUGGAAUC